Molecule: unclassified non-coding RNA, 983 nt
Filed under: Hevea brasiliensis (rubber tree)
Lineage: Eukaryota; Viridiplantae; Streptophyta; Magnoliopsida; Malpighiales; Euphorbiaceae
Source: RNAcentral
UUCAAGAAAUUCUUCUGCAUGCAAUGAAACUUUUCCAACAUCCAAUCUUGGAGCCAAAAGAAGCGAUGGCAUGUACCCACCAGAUUUUUUUGCUGAAGUGGAGCCUUCAUCAACAACAGGAAUCAAGAAUCUAUUAUCAUCAUCAGAAACUCGGUUCAGAAUAGGGGUGUUAAUAUCAGUCUCCAAAAGUGAACUCUCAAGUCCACUCCAAGCUUCCUUGGUCCCUCCAGAAAGGCCAAGUUUUAGAAUUGAAUCAGCAUCCGAUGAUAACCCCUGAGAUGGCAGCAGAAGCUGAUACUUUAUCCUUGUUAAACGUCAUGCUGUAAUAAUCAUUACAAUAAGCAGAUGGUGUUGGACCUAAUCCAAGCACCAACUUACAGCCAUCAUCAGGGCCAUUGGGAAAAUCAACCUUACAUAUGCUUCGAGUACUCUCAAAUCCAGUCACACUGCUUCCUCCAUUGGCUAGGCAGUUCAAGCGUAACGUCGUAUCACCAUAGUUUUCAGUUUUAGAAAGUUCGCUGUUAUGACAAAACUGCUUAUCUUUAUCAUUCAGAUCCAUUCUCUAGAUGUUGUGAACUCAAGGACUAAGAAGAACUAAGGAAUAGAGGGCCAACCAACAAUAGUUUUUAUCACAUGCUAAUGGCAUGAAUAAUUACCAAAAUGAAGUGUAAAUGUCCAAAUAGGCUAACUCCCCCACUGACAAAGCCUGAUGUGUCUGACCUGUCCAUCUUUGUACACUUCAGCACUGACAACAGGGAAUUAAAAAAAAUUGCACAUGGACUUAGGUCCUAGAAAUAUCUGACAACAUUUCUAGGAUAAAAUCCUUUAAUGAGAACAAGUAAAAUUGAUAUGAAAGAUCUUGGGAGCGACUCGUGCUCCUUCCUAAAUUAUUUGGCUUCAUCAACCAACUUCAUAAAAAUUAGAGCAAAUUUCGAGAAAGCGAGUGGAUCUGAGAAGUGGCUAUAGACAUCGUUGAAAGUUUA